GACCCUCAGCGGUGGAUCACUCCGUUCUCAGGUCGAUGAAGAAUGCAGCCAGCUGCGAGACUCUGUGCGAAUUGCAGGACACACUGAAGCACUUGCUCUUUGAACGCACAUUGCGGCCUCGGGCUUUCCCGUGGCUUCGUCUGUGUGAGGUUCG
Molecule: ribosomal RNA, 154 nt
Filed under: Ixodes scapularis (black-legged tick)
Lineage: Eukaryota; Metazoa; Arthropoda; Arachnida; Ixodida; Ixodidae
Description: 5.8S ribosomal RNA
Rfam family: 5.8S ribosomal RNA
About the family: 5.8S ribosomal RNA (5.8S rRNA) is a component of the large subunit of the eukaryotic ribosome. It is transcribed by RNA polymerase I as part of the 45S precursor that also contains 18S and 28S rRNA.
Source: RNAcentral